GUCAGAUUCUGAAAUCACAAACGUUACUUGAGGAAUUACAAUAGAAGCAAAUUCUAAUUCACAUACAACAUCUACUGUAAAAAACACAAACAAUUUCACAUCAGAAACAACAACUAUUCCUGAAAACACCAGCUAUUUCUCUGUAGAACAAACUUCUGCAUUUGUAAAUACUGUGUUGGUUCCUUAGGUACAACUCCUGCUUCUGAGAAUGCAAGUAUUCAUUUAUUAAGAACAAGAAUUUCUCAAGGAGAUACAGCAUC
This is a non-coding RNA of Pelobates cultripes (western spadefoot toad), 260 nucleotides long. Lineage: Eukaryota; Metazoa; Chordata; Amphibia; Anura; Pelobatidae. The record is from the annotation of a GenBank genome assembly.